ACCAUUCGAUAGUCGGUACCUAGAGUUUGUAGACUUCGGUCUGCUACCUCUUACCCAUGUCUUUUGAGUACCUUCGUUUCCUCGGCGGGUCCGCCCGCCGAUUGGACAACAUUCAAACCCUUUGCAGUUGCAAUCAGCGUCUGAAAAAACAUAAUAGUUACAACUUUCAACAACGGAUCUCUUGGUUCUGGCAUCGAUGAAGAACGCAGCGAAAUGCGAUAAGUAGUGUGAAUUGCAGAAUUCAGUGAAUCAUCGAAUCUUUGAACGCACAUUGCGCCCCUUGGUAUUCCAUGGGGCAUGCCUGUUCGAGCGUCAUUUGUACCUUCAAGCUCUGCUUGGUGUUGGGUGUUUGUCUCGCCUCUGCGUGUAGACUCGCCUUAAAACAAUUGGCAGCCGGCGUAUUGAUUUCGGAGCGCAGUACAUCUCGCGCUUUGCACUCAUAACGACGACGUCCAAAAGUACAUUUUUACACUCUUGACCUCGGAUCAGGUAGGGAUACCCGCUGAACUUAAGCAUAUCAAUAAGGCGGGAGGAA
Molecule: ribosomal RNA, 535 nt
Filed under: Epicoccum sp. OUCMBI101156
Lineage: Eukaryota; Fungi; Ascomycota; Dothideomycetes; Pleosporales; Didymellaceae
Description: eukaryotic LSU rRNA
Rfam family: 5.8S ribosomal RNA (bases 162-315)
Source: RNAcentral